This 554-nucleotide ribosomal RNA is filed under the name Wickerhamomyces sp. S633Y28. RNAcentral describes it as "eukaryotic LSU rRNA". It matches the Rfam family "Eukaryotic large subunit ribosomal RNA", at positions 88 to 657 of the family's 3401-position model. The record is from RNAcentral. Lineage: Eukaryota; Fungi; Ascomycota; Saccharomycetes; Phaffomycetales; Wickerhamomycetaceae.
GGCGAGUGAGCGGCAAAGCUCAAAUUUGAAAUCUAGCACCUUCGGUGUUCGAGUUGUAAUUUGAAGAUGGUAACCUUGGGUUUGGCUCUUGUCUAUGUUCCUUGGAACAGGACGUCAUAGAGGGUGAGAAUCCCGUCUGAUGAGAUGCCCAUUCCUAUGUAAGGUGCUAUCGAAGAGUCGAGUUGUUUGGGAAUGCAGCUCUAAGUGGGUGGUAAAUUCCAUCUAAAGCUAAAUAUUGGCGAGAGACCGAUAGCGAACAAGUACAGUGAUGGAAAGAUGAAAAGAACUUUGAAAAGAGAGUGAAAAAGUACGUGAAAUUGUUGAAAGGGAAGGGCAUUAGAUCAGACUUGGUGUUUUACGAUUAUCUUCUCUUCUUGAGUUGUGCACUCGUAUUUCACUGGGCCAGCAUCGAUUCGGAUGGCAAGAUAAUGGCAGUUGAAUGUGGCUUCACUUCGGUGGAGUGUUAUAGCUUCUGCUGAUAUUGCCUGUCUGGAUCGAGGGCUGCGUCUUUUGACUAGGAUGCUGGCGUAAUGAUCUAAUGCCGCCCGUCUGAA